GGGUCCAGAAAUAUCUUAAUAUUUCUGGAGGUUAAACAACCGGAUAGCCGGGCCGCUAUCU
Molecule: non-coding RNA, 61 nt
Filed under: Deltaproteobacteria bacterium
Lineage: Bacteria; Pseudomonadati; Myxococcota; Myxococcia
Description: Li+-I sequence
Rfam family: nhaA-I RNA
About the family: Acidobacteria, Alphaproteobacteria, Betaproteobacteria and Gammaproteobacteria, Verrucomicrobia, cand. division NC10. Downstream gene
Source: RNAcentral